UACGUAGGGGGCGAGCGUUGUCCGGAUUUAUUGGGCGUAAAGAGCGUGUAGGCGGCUUGGUAGGUCCGCUGUGAAAACUCGGGGCUCAACCCCGAGAGGUCGGUGGAAACCAUCUGGCUAGAGUCCGGAAGAGGAGAGUGGAAUUCCCGGUGUAGCGGUGAAAUGCGCAGAUAUCGGGAGGAACACCAGUGGCGAAGGCGACUUCCUGGCCUGUUCUUGACGCUGAGGCGCGAAAGCUAGGGGAGCAAACGGG
This 253-nucleotide ribosomal RNA is filed under the name uncultured bacterium. RNAcentral's name for it is "partial 16S ribosomal RNA". It matches the Rfam family "Bacterial small subunit ribosomal RNA", at positions 524 to 776 of the family's 1533-position model. The record is from RNAcentral.